Non-coding RNA from Phrynosoma platyrhinos (Desert horned lizard), 72 nucleotides. The record is from the annotation of a GenBank genome assembly. NCBI's taxonomy places the organism in Eukaryota, Metazoa, Chordata, Lepidosauria, Squamata, Phrynosomatidae.
GUCAGAUUGCUAUAGUGGUUUUAGCCUUGGACUAUGAAUCUGGAAGCCAGGGUUUGAAUCCCUGCUCUUCCA